UGAUCUGGGGCCGAGGAAUGUGGUGUUUGGGAGGACCAUGACCGCCUGUCCGGCUUUCGUCCAAGUCUCCAUGAACGGGGCGAGCAACCCAGAGAGGGUGUCAGGCCCGUGGUAUUGGCGAGUCGCGACCGUGGUAGAGGUCUCUCCUUGGAGUCGGGUUGCUUGAGAGUGCAGCUCUAAGCGGGAGGUAAACUCCUUCUAAGGCUAAAUACGGCCACGAGACCGAUAGCGAACAAGUACCGCGAGGGAAAGUUGAAAAGAACUUUGAAGAGAGAGUUCAAGAGUGCGUGAAACCGUUCGGAGGGUAAAACGGGUGGGCGCUCGAAGAUCGAACGAUCCUUACUCCCGCCAUCUGCACGCCAGUCUCCCGCAGAUCCAUCAAGUGUGCCCACGCCUUCACGGGCGCGAGUUUGCCACUGGUCUGUGGGAGUUCACUGGCGGCCGUGCAGGGGCCGCAAGUUUGGGAUCCAGUAGGACUCCGCAACCGUCUGGAUAGACGUCAAAAGGAACCUUCUUGAGUUUUCCACGGCUUG
This 533-nucleotide ribosomal RNA is filed under the name Cyclestheria hislopi. RNAcentral describes it as "eukaryotic LSU rRNA". It matches the Rfam family "Eukaryotic large subunit ribosomal RNA", at positions 127 to 493 of the family's 3401-position model. The record is from RNAcentral. Lineage: Eukaryota; Metazoa; Arthropoda; Branchiopoda; Diplostraca; Cyclestheriidae.